CAGUCGCCACGGGAAUACGGAGGGUGCAAGCGUUAUCCGGAUUUAUUGGGUUUAAAGGGUCCGUAGGCGGAUCUGUAAGUCAGUGGUGAAAUCUCACAGCUUAACUGUGAAACUGCCAUUGAUACUGCAGGUCUUGAGUAAAUUUGAAGUGGCUAAAAUAAGUAGUGUAGCGGUGAAAUGCAUAGAUAUUACUUAGAACACCAAUUGCGAAGGCAGGUCACUAAGAUUUAACUGACGCUGAUGGACGAAAUCGUGGGGAGCGAACAGGAUUAGAUACCCCCGUAGUCCCUGUCUCUUUACA
Molecule: ribosomal RNA, 301 nt
Filed under: uncultured bacterium
Lineage: Bacteria
Description: partial 16S ribosomal RNA
Rfam family: Bacterial small subunit ribosomal RNA
Source: RNAcentral